Molecule: ribosomal RNA, 301 nt
Filed under: uncultured bacterium
Lineage: Bacteria
Description: partial 16S ribosomal RNA
Rfam family: Bacterial small subunit ribosomal RNA
Source: RNAcentral
CAGCCGCCGCGGGAAUACGUAGGUGGCAAGCGUUGUCCGGAAUUAUUGGGCGUAAAGGGCUCGCAGGCGGUUUCUUAAGUCUGAUGUGAAAGCCCCCGGCUCGACCGGGGAGGGUCAUUGGAAACUGGGAAACUUGAGUGCAGAAGGGGAGAGUGGAAUUCCACGUGUAGCGGUGAAAUGCGUAGAGAUGUGGAGGAACACCAGUGGCGAAGGCGACUCCCUGGUCUGUAACUGACGCUGAGGAGCGAAAGCGUGGGGAGCGAACAGGAUUAGAUACCCCCGUAGUCCCUGUCUCUUAUAC